RNAcentral lists this ribosomal RNA (199 nucleotides) under uncultured bacterium. Its description in RNAcentral is "partial 16S ribosomal RNA". It matches the Rfam family "Bacterial small subunit ribosomal RNA", at positions 1302 to 1500 of the family's 1533-position model. The record is from RNAcentral.
AGGCUGCAACUCGCCUGCAUGAAGUCGGAAUUGCUAGUAAUCGUAGGUCAGCAUACUACGGUGAAUACGUUCCCGGGCCUUGUACACACCGCCCGUCAAACCAUGAGAGUUGGCAACACCCGAAGUCGGUAGUCUAACCGCAAGGAGGACGCCGCCGAAGGUGGGGUUGAUGAUUAGGGUUAAGUCGUAACAAGGUAUC